UCCCUGCUGGCUCAGCUGGUAAAGCAUCUGCCUGCAAUGCGGGAGACCUGGGUUUGAUCCCUGGGUUGGGAA
This 72-nucleotide transfer RNA is filed under the name Bos taurus (domestic cattle). It matches the Rfam family "tRNA". Rfam says of the family: Transfer RNA (tRNA) molecules are approximately 80 nucleotides in length. Their secondary structure includes four short double-helical elements and three loops (D, anti-codon, and T loops). The record is from Rfam by way of RNAcentral. RNAcentral also lists the same sequence under 3 other names. Lineage: Eukaryota; Metazoa; Chordata; Mammalia; Artiodactyla; Bovidae.